RNAcentral lists this long non-coding RNA (12708 nucleotides) under Malus domestica (apple). RNAcentral describes it as "long non-coding RNA (MDOM_LNC007019)". The record is from RNAcentral. Lineage: Eukaryota; Viridiplantae; Streptophyta; Magnoliopsida; Rosales; Rosaceae.
UAUCUUCCUAUCCUCACGCUUCUCUGGUUUUCGCUUUGAUUUUUUUAUGGAAGGUUUGAGAUUUCUUUAAUCAUACAAUCAGCUUGCCCUUAAUUAUUCUUUCACUAUAUUUGACUGUUGUAGUCCUCUUUUAGCUACUCAAAUGACACAUUAAAAAUCCCAAGAAUUUUUUUCUCACUCUGUAAGACAAAAAGGUUUCGAAUCGGACGAUUGGAAGACAAAAAGGUUAUAAUUGUUAUGACUGGAUUGAGCAUGGUAUGUUUAAUUAUGCAGAGGGAAAUGAUUUUACAUCUAUUUGUUUGUAAAUGUGAUUAUAUUCCUGGAAUUUUUCUUUUGAUAAAACUAGUGAUAAGAGCAGAGAAAUUCGAAGCUAAACACCGAUUAAUUUGGGGAGACAAUGCCUUGGAGAGAAGAAACAAUUUUAACUGUUCUCCAAGUUAUAGUGUUGUGUGGUGAUUUUGGAUUUGAACUGAAUGGUGAUGAGUUGUGCAGGAAAAACCACUUUCGUGAAGAGGCAUCUCACUGGUGAAUUCGAGAAGAAAUACGAGCAUAAGAGACAUUUCUGACAUUUCCGUCCAUUGCGCCGUGUUGUUAGUUUGUUGUUAUAAUUAGUUUGACCUUGAUAUGUUUGCUUAUACUUAACAUUCAUUUUCUGUUACUUUUCUAUGCAAACAGCCACCAUUGGUGUGGAGGUUCAUCCACUGGACUUCUUCACAAAUUGUGGAAGGAUCCGCAUUUACUUCUGGGACACUGCUGGGCAAGAGAAGUUUGGCGGUCUUCGAGAUGGUCGCUAGUAAGUGAAUAUUUUCCUGUUGCUUUUGUUCUUCAUAUUUCAUAUCCACAUUAAAAAUCAUUUGAUACCUCACUGAUUUUGUGUAUAUUUAAUGUCUCCCAAAGCAUUUUACAGUAUCUUAUAACUUCUUAUAUAUGUGAUUACCUAUCUGAGUUAUCUGCCCUUUCACUGUGCUGCUUAGUUGAUGGUCUCAUCUAAAAUUUUCCGUUGAAAUAUGCAGCAUUCAUGGGCAAUGUGCAACUACAACUUAGAAACCCUCCUCUACUUGGCAAGGAAGCUUGCAGGGUAAUUACAAACAUUCCCUUUUUUAUUUGGUUGCUAUAGCGUAUCGAUAAUAGUAAUUGAGGUUAACGCUGCUGUUGUUACUUUAGUGACGCAAAUCUUCAUUUCGUCGAGUCUCCGACCCUUGCUCCUCCAGAAGUGCACUUUGACAUGGCUGCCUAACAAUAGUAAGUAUUUUGUCUAUGUUAAUAAACUUGACUCUUCUUUGAUGUUAACGUCGUGGAUUCAGCAUGAAGCUGAAAAUUGUCUCAUCUCGGUUAUUAUUGCUUCUUGCAGGCAUGAAGCUGAGCUUGCGGCAACAGCUGCCCAACCUCUUCCUGAUGACGAUGACGAGGCAUUUGAAUAGACGGGGAGAUGAUGCAUUUCAAUAUACCGUGGCAUAUUUCUUCUAGGAGAUGGCUUUCAUUCAUUCUGUCAAGAUUUGAUUUUCAAAGUGUCAUGUCUUAGAACAAAGGGCCUCUUUUAGUCAGAUUCAACUACAGCUACUAUUAGGUAUUGUUUAUUAUUGGUUGUGCAAUUACAUGUCUAAUUGUCCCCCUUUUUUUUUGUUAGGUGAUCUAUCAUUGGUUGUGCAAUUACAUGUCUAAUUGUCCCCUCUUUUUUUUUUGUAAGGUGAUCUUUCAAUGGGAAUUUCAAGUCAUAAUUCUAGCCUAUCUAAAGGUGAUGGAGGAACAUAUAAGCAUGUCAGCUCUUUGGAAUGCUCUUCUGAUGAAUCUUCGCAGGGUAAGCGAGUAUGCAGAAAUUUUUUUUGUUUGUUUUGAAAUUUAUUUUUUUCAAUGUUUUUAGGUUUAAUUUGUAUCUGUUUUGGAAUGAUGUUUAAGUUUAUUGAACGUAUUAGGAUUCGGUAUUAUUGAGUUGUUUGAAUAUGAAGAAUCUCUUGACAUAAUUGGUUAGUAUUUUUAUUUGUUUUCUGUAUUAGCUUUUUUUUUUUGGGUAAUGUGAGCUUCUAUUAACUUUUGUGUUCCAUUCAACUCUAAAUAAAAUUAAAUGUCCGAGAUUAGGGAAGUUAAUUGCUGACUUAAAACCUGAUAAUGUUUUAUUGCUUGAUGAUACUUGGGAAGUCACUGAUUUUGGUUUAGGUGAGUUUUGUGGUUUUAUAUGUUUUAACAUAAUGCAUGUGAGAAAUCUUUUGUCUUUGUUGAAAUGGAAGAAAUUUCUAUUGAAGACUUUUCUACGAAAAAGUUCAUUUAUGUUUUUCGUAGUCUUUUGCAUAAGUGAACAAUUUGGUAAAGAUAAUGAAAAACAUAACUGAACUUUUUCGUAGAAAAGUCUUCAAAAGAAAUUUCUUCCAUUUCAACAAAGACAAAAGAUUUCUCACAUGCAUUAUUCUAAAACAUAUAAAACCACAAAACUCACCUAAACCAAAAUCAGCGACUUUUCAAGUAUCAUCAAGCACCAACACAUUAUCAGGUUUUAAGUCAGCAAUUAACUUUCCUGACCUCGGACAUUUAAUUUUAUUUAGACCUGAAUGGAACACAAAACUUAAUAGAAACUCACAUUACCAUGCUAAUACAGAAAACAAAUAAAAAUACUAACCAAUUAUGUCAACUGAUUCUUCAGAUUCAAACAACUCAAUAAUUCUGAAUCCUAACAUGUUCAAUAAAGUUAAACAUCAUUCCACAGAUACAAAUUAAACCUAAAACACUGAAGAAAAAAAAAUUUCAAAACAAACAAAAGAUUUUCUGCUUACCUUACAAGAUUCAUCAAAAGAUCUGUCAUGCUUAUAUUUUUCCUCCAUCACCUUCAGAUAGGCUAGAAUUAUGACUCGAAAUUCCCAUUGAAAGAUCACCUUACAAAGAGCUGCCAUGCUUAUAUUUUCCUCCAUCACCUUCAAUUACCAUUAGGUAUUGUUUAUCAGAUAGGCUAGAACACAUGACCUUUUAAGUCAGAUUCAACACAGCGCCUAUUUCAGAGCUUAGGAACAGAAAUUUGAAAAAUUAUACGUUUGAAACACAGGGCCUCUUUUAGUCGUUUCAUUCUUUUCUGUAAUUUUUUAACAAUUAAUAUGGACUGUUGAAUUUUAGAAAGUUUGAAAUCCAACAGCCCAAAAGUGGACACGUGGCCAACGGUAAGAUUUCUGACAUUUUUUAAUGUUUUUUGGCCUAAAAAUCUGGACCGUUGAUCAGGAAAUCAAACGGUUCAGAUUUUGACACAUCACUAACCGUUAGAUUUCAAAUUCAAUUUAUUUUUACUGUUGGAAAUCCAAACUAUCCAGAAAACUAGCUGUUCGAAAUCCAACGCCAUUGCCGAGCCAUGUAGCCAAAUUCUGGCAUUAGUUAGGGCGCUUGCAGCGCGGGCCUCACCUCUGCGAGAUGUUGGGAACGCAUGAUCACGCCCGCGUGUUUCCCAUGCGCCAGUUGCAAAAAAACACUCGACUCGUGGUUGACGUCAGAUGGGCUAGUUCCUCAUUUUGCAAAAAAAACAUUCGACCCGUGGUUGACGUCAGAUGGGCUAGUUCCUCACUCGGUCCAUUCUUGCCCGGCCUAGAAGCUAGAGUGAACUUUGGGCCAACAUAUUUGGUGGGGUGGAGUGGAUUUUUGGGGGGCUAGGCUAUUUUAAGGACUUUCAGCUAGCCUAUUUGGAUGGGUGGACUUGCUAUAAUGAAAGUAAGAUUACUUCCGGAAGAAGAUACUUGAGAUUCCUUAAAUAGCUUUAAAAUAUUAAUUUUUUGAACUAACAUGAAUUAAUGACUUAUCAUCUAAAUAAAAGUUUAAGGUGAUGAAAAAUGGAUAAAGUUCUAAGAAAGCCAAAUGAAGCAUUUCUCUACAUUAUUACAAGCUCAAAGAUAAAUACUCACGGACGUUUUAUUCAUAAUCAAAACAUUAUAUGACUUGAAAUUGAAAUAUUAUUGCUUCAAUUAUCUCUUUUGAACAAAAAAAUAUCUAAAUUUGUAUCUUUUAAGAAAUAUUUAGAGCAUCUCCAAAAAAGAUGUCAAAUAUAAUAUAUCAAAAUUUUAUUUGAUGGCUGAUGUGGCAAAUUGAAUAUAAGUACUAAAUCCUCUUCUUUGUCAAUAGAUGUGUCAGAUAUUUAUUUUAUUAGGCCUAGUGUUGCAUUAACUGUUAAAAAAUAAUCAAAAUUAGUUUUAGUUUUUAUUCUAUUGGAUGUUAAUGGGAUCUAUGCAUUAAAAAAUUAAAUUAAAUUAAUUGACUCCUUUGUUUGCUGUCAAAAAGACAGCUAGAAAGUAAGGAGUCAAAUGACUCACAUGUCAUAUUAUAUAUGACAUAUCCAUUGGAAAACACUUGAAUGUCUUUUAAUUAUAUUUGGCAUAUUUGACAUUUCUUUUGGAGAUAAUUUGAGAUGUAUCUAAAUAUGGUACAUAAUAAGGGAAUUGGAUCCUCUCUAAGGCAAAGCCUCGAGAUUCUCUAGAUUGAAUAACAUAGAUCAUUAGAUUUUGACUCAACAGCUACAAACAGGGGGUUCUUUAAAAGUUAUAAUAAUUAUAGCUGUUAGAUUUGAUCCAACGGUCUGUGUUAGUCGAUCAGAAGAAUCUCGAGACUUUGCGGAGGAUCCAAUUCCCGUAAUAAGUACGUAGGCCAAGCCUUCGAGGUGACUUGAAGCCGCCUUCGAGCUGACUUGAAGCUGCCUUUUCGAGAAGCACAUCCAAUCGUCGAUGUUGGCUCCCAAGUAUAUGUCAAAAAUGCCUCUGAGAGAAGAAAAAUCUUCAUUUAGCUUCAUGUGUAUUUUAAUUUUUAGAGGAAAUUUUUUCUUUACACCUAAAUUUAGCCUCUCGACCCUCUUAUUUUCUAAAGAUCUAAUUUACCACAAACAUUUUUCUGAACAACUAAAAUAAUUUAUUAAACUUAUGAGAAUUACUUUAUAGAUUAUGAAGACUUUCACCUAUAUUUCUCUUCCUUUGUGUCACCCUCUUUUCACAUAUCAAACAUAUGAAGACUUUCAGAUAAUCAAAGGAAGUCACCAUUAGAUAAGCAAAAGGUUCUGAUGAAUUGAAAUGAGUUUUUUGUUUAUGUUUGGAAAUUUUCUUGAUGGAGAAGAUGAUUGGGUUACAACGGGAGAAAUAAAAUCAGGGUUUCAGGGUAUGAUGAUUUGUUCGCAAAGAGAGGAGAGAGUGUUGCUGCUCGAAAUAAAAGUUGAUGUUCUUGGGCGACGCGAGCGUGACACAAGCGUUGGGAUGGUGGUUAGCUGUUGGGGUGAUAAGUUAUGAAGUAAUUAAAGAUAUAUGAAAUGAAUUAUAUCGUUGGAAAGAAAAAAAAAACACGUUAGAAGACUUCGUUAGAUUUUAUUUUCUUUGAUUGAGCCAAAAUUCAAUUGUGAUAUAGAAUGUACUAGCAACGGUGCCAGCGCGAUGCUGCGGGUUUUAAAACUGUAUAAAAUAUGCAGAAAGUUCUAAAUACAUACAAUAUGCAAUACUAUUUACAUGUAGAAAUCUAUUUACAACCAUGGUUUGGCGGUUCUAUUGCCAUUGUUCUAAUAUUUACAUCUUUUACAAAUUAAACUCCUGUCCUUAACCGUACAAAUUUUUUUGUAUGUAAUUUUAUUUACAUACAAAAAAUAAUAUUUGAUGUGUAUAUACAUACUAUUUACACACACAAAUUUGGUAGAUUGUCCCUAUUGAUAUUCUCAUGAAAUAUGCAAAUAAUCAGCCUAUUUACCCAAUCAUAACAAAACAGUGUAGUUGCAAUUGACUUUAAGUCAUCAAUAGAACAAAAUACCUGAAGUCGAAGAUAAACCUGAUGAAUGUAGAAAUCUUCAAGCCCUAAACAGAGUGGCCCUGCUUUUUGCAACAAAACAAUCCUUUUAUUACAAAAAAUUACAGGAAAACCUUUCAGAAGUGGAAACAAAAUUAAGUCAAAUGAUUAGGGUACCAUAAUUUUCCUUGACCAUACACAAAUAAAAUUUAAAUUAAAAAGAAAAAAUGAAAAGAAAAAAAAGCAAUCUCAAAUACACAGAUUGAAAACUCAUUAAACAAUUUAUUAAGCAUAUAUAGGUUCACCCAACAGAUGAUCUUAUUUAAUCACACCAUUUUAAUUUAUCAAAUUGAUUAUUUAAUACUGUCAUGCUAAACAAUUGUUCUGAUAAUACCCUCUCAUCACACCAUUUUAAUUUAUCAAAUUGAUUAUUUAAUACUGUCAUGCUAAACAAUUGUUCUGAUAAUACCCUCUCAUCCCAGUACGAUGAACAAAAAAUUCUUCAAUCUCUUGCAUGUCCAUUUCAAUUCUUAAAACCGAAAGAAAAUAUUAAAGUUUCUUUCUUACCGAAAUCUACCAAUUUGAAUCAAAUCCACCAAAGAAGCAUACAUGUUCUUUCCUUGAAUUAUACAUAUAUUUGAGAAGAUUCAAAUAAAGACUAAAAGGUCGUACCCAGUGCACAAGGCUCCCGCUUUACGCAUGGUCUGUCAGAGGUAAAUGUUGGCUAGCCUUAUCCCCAUUUAUGGAGAGGCUGCUCCCAAGUCUCGAACCCGAGACCUACCGCUCAUGGACAAAAGCACUUGCCAUCGCAUCAAGUGCGACCUCUAAACGAAAUUCAAAAUUCAAAAUUCUUUCUCCCCUUAAACGAAAUUAUAUACAUGCAUUUAAUUAUCUUAAUUUCCUAGAAGCAAGUUGGAUAAUGUGUAAACGUAGACAUUAUAAUGCUCAGCAAAUAGGCUAUCUUUUACAGCGAGAAAUGGUAAGCUUAAGAAAUUAAAUUACCAUAUCACUCAAGAAGUAUAAAGUUCGAAAAGGGUAAGUAAAUAGACACACAGAUAUAUAUCUUUGAUGCACAGUCCACCCUAGUCGUCAAUGGAUGUACAGCACCAGGAACACUAAAAAGCCUAGCAAAUUUUUGUAAUGGGGCUGGAAAAUUGAAAGUUUAAAUAGUAAGUUAACAACUUAAAAUACUAAUUGGGAUUGUAGCAUAGCUUGUAAUUUAAUGAUUAAAUUGCGAAGCACUUGAAAAAAAAAAUUAGAGGAAAAAAAAAGUCAUUAGCAACCCCCAUAGUUGUUGUUAAGAUACAUAUAUCUACAAAUAUAAACUUUAUCUCACCUCAAAGAGAACGGCAAACAACCACACUCAUUCGCCUAAUGAAAAGAAAUUGAACAAAUUAGGAUUCGGUUGGUAUUAAAUUGAAAUGGGUUGAAAAGAAAUUGAACAAAUUAGGAUUCGGUUGGUAUUAAAUUGAAAUGUGUUGAAUAUUAUAUCACAAUGAUUAAAGAAAACACAUAAUUUAUGUCUUUUGAGGGAAAUCAAAUUACCUAACUGAAAUUUGUUGGAAAUCAAAGGCUUUAACCUCAUAUUGGAAAUCAAAGCAGAAAUAUGUAAAAGAGCGGUGACAUACCUGUGGAACUCUCGAGCAUGGAAAGGCUCUGGUUUCUUGCAAAACAACGGAAAAUAAAAUAAGAAACCUGCUAGAAAACUUGACAAUAGAUUGGUUAAAAAACACUUUGAAAUACAGUAAAUAUUCUUUGUGCCACUUGGUGAUGAUAAACACUAUUUGUUUCCGGAUGAAAUUAAGCAUCCCCAAAAAAAAAAUAAAAAAAUAAAAACAAAUCAACUUUACAUAAAAGUUUAUAUUACCUGUCCCAAAUCAACUGGAGAACUCAUAAUAGAAUUUCUACCUUCCAAUUUAUCGUAACCUUUUCCAUCUUAGAACAUUCAAAAUUUUCAACAGAACAUGAAUUCUAUAAUGUUGGUUAAAUUAUCUACACUACACACAUGCAGAUUAAGGCAAAUACAUAGCUAAUUACGGAACAAAAAAACCAAAACUUGUGUUUAACAUGCAUAACAUACUUUAACUUACCAAUAAUGAAUUUACAUGUCUGGCAUGGUUGGGGGGUUUGGGACAGAGACAAAAUAGUUGCCUCAGCUGCAAUUUAAUUCAUAUGCAUCUGCUCAAGGAUAACUCAUAUGUAAGAGAGGGUGUUCGUGCCCAAACGCACAUACCUUUAAAAGCACAGAUAUAUGUAUGCAUGUAUAAAUAAAUGACAAAACAGAACCAACCAUCCAGAAAAACAAAAGUAUAAAAUGGAAGUGCAAAAUCAAGCAAACAUUCAAACCAUUAUGCAAUGUUGCCAGAAAUAACUAAAAAUAUUCAUUCAAGUUCAAACUUUUCCACAAUAAAAUACACAUGCAAAAGGUCAAGAGUCGGAGACAGUGGGAGGGAUAGAAGAGAGAGAAGUGAUCUGAGAGAUGAGAAGCGAGAAACGCAGAGGGGCUUCCCCGAUCAGAAUUUAUCCCAAUCAACAAAUAAAACCCAGAUUUCAAAAAUUAAAAUCAUAAAAAAUUCCAACAAAUAAAAGAGAACCCAGAAACCAAACCCAUCAAUCUUUCCUAAAAAGGGAGAACUCACCAGGAAACCCAAGCUUUUUCUGGGUUUCAAAAUUUUCCUCGAAUCCGAACGGGAUUCAGCUGCGAAAGGUAAGGCUAAGUUUCUGAGAUGUUUUCAUUUUUGAGAUAGGGAAGGAGCCAUUCACGAUACUGUAUGAUUUCCAUUUGAGGUUGAAGAUUGGAACAAUCCGGAUGAAUUUUGGUUUCGGGAUUGAUUUGGUUGAACGCAGGUUUUUGUUUUAAUUUCAGGCGUCUGGAACAAAUGAAAAAGCUUUGUUCUGGAAACAAAUGGAAAAGCCACGAUGACCAACACGUGUAUAUUAAGGGCAAAUUAGUAAAUUUACUGUGGAACCCAGGGAAACGAGCUAAAGAUGGUAACAGCUGGAAGGGCAAAUACGUCAAAUCACUGUUAAUGACAAAAAGUAAUUCAGCAGAAUCACAAGAAAGUACUGAACUAUUAGGAAAUAUUGUUCAUAAUAUAGAAAAACCAAAAAAUAGUUCCUUAAUUAUCAUAAAUUGUGAAAUAAAAUUAGCAAAAAAACACAAAAUACAAACAUCAACCAUGAUAGAUACAUGAAGUACAAAGAGUGUGAUAAGAGACGAGUUAGUUCCGGAAAAAUAUAGAUAAAAAUUAGCAAAACCAGUUAAAAUAACACAGUUUGAUAAACCAGUUUAUUUAACAUAUUGCAUUAAUAAUGAGUCUAUUAAAGUAGAAAAACAACAAUUUAAUUUACCAUUAACAUUUGUUUCACUAGUAGGAUCAUACCCAUUCAGUUUAGGUUUAAACUUUUUGAAAAGUUUGCAAAGUUUUUUAUUUAUGAAUCCUAACAUAACAUUUUUUAAGAAAGGUAUUACAAUAACUAACCAAAGUAAUACUGUAGAAGCAUACAAAAGCAUAAGUAUAUAAAAGUCUAAUGGCCAAACUAGUUAUUAUUUAGAAAACUCAAAAGAAAAUGAUGAGCAUAAUAACAUAGAAGAGUUUGAUGAAAAAAUAUUUGAACAUGAAUAUCUAAUUUUAGAAGAAGGAACCGGUAUAGAAAUAUUAUAGUCAGAUAAACCAAAGAGUUUAGAAGAGUGAUUACAAUUAGCAGAACAAACUAGAAUCAUAUGAGAAGACCCAUAAUUGCAUUGGUGUUAAAAUAAAAUAUUAGCAAAAAUAGAUAUAAUUAACCUAGAUUUAACCAUUAAGACAGCUAAUAUACCUUGUAGUUUAUUAGAUAAACAAGAGUUUUAACAGCAAAUAAAAGAGUUGUUAAAUUUAAAAGUAAUUAGACCUUCAAAGUCUAAACAUAAAUCAGCAACAUUUAUCGUAAGAAACAUUCAGAACUAAAGAGAUAAAAUGUUAGAAUAGUUUAUAACUACAAGAGGUUAAAUGAUAAUAUAUAUGAAUAUAGUUAUGAGUUACCAAAUAAGGAUGAACUUAUAAAUAAGAUUCAAGAGAGUAAAUAUUUUAGUAAAUUUGAUUGUAAAUCAGAUUUUUGGCAAAUAAGAUUAGCAGAAGAAUCAAUUAAGUGGACAACUUUUACUUGUCCAUAAUGACAUUUUCAGUGGUUGGUUAUGCCAUUUGAACUUAAAAAAUGCUCCAUCGAUCUUUCAAAGAAAGAUAGAUCAAAUUUUCGAGAAAUAUGAUAAUUUUGUAAUGUUUAUGUAGAUGAUAUUUUAGUACAUAGUAAAAAUAGAAAUGAACAUAGCAAGCACUUAGAGAUAAUUUUACAAGAAUUUAUCAAUAAUGAAAUUGUGAUUAGCAGAAAUAAAAUAGCAUUAGAAAUGUAAGAUAUAAAAUUUUUAAGAAUGUAUAUUAAGUCAAGUACAAUACAAUUACAAGAUCAUAUAGCUAAAAAGGUCUUAGAUUUUCCAAAUAAGAUAAAAAAACAAUUACAAGCAUUUUUAGGAUUGUUAAAUUAUGCAAGAAAUUUUAUCCCUCAUUUAGGAAGAAAAAUAGCAGUAUUACAUAGUAAAACUAGCAAAACAGGAUACAAGUAUUUUAAUAGUGAAGACAUUAAAUUAGUCCAAAAUAUAAAGGAAUAAAUUACUAAACUUAAGCCAUUAACAUUACCAUUAGAUGAUAGUUAUAAAAUAGUCGAAAAAGUUUCUUCAUCAUUAAGAUGGACAAGUAUACUGUACCAGAAAAAACAUAAGGAGUCACCAAAGUCUGAUGAAAAAAUUUGUAGAUAUUCAUUAGGAAAAUUUAGUGAUGUACAAUCAAGGUUACAAGCAACAGAGUUAGAAAUUUUAGGAAUAAAUAACUCGCUUGAAACAUUUUUUUAAUUUUUAUAUAAUAAAAUAUUUACAAUUAGAACUGUUAAAAUACAGUUUCUCAUUAUAAUAAGAUAUAUGAUAAUAAAUAGGCAGCCGCAGAAUCAGCCAAGCCAUAUAAAAGUAGGCUCCCUGCCCACCUCCAUACUUAAAUCGCCGCCUUCGUCUACGUCUGUCUCUCUCACUCAGCUGCGACUUUUAGAUUCUCUCUCUAUCGCCACUCGCCGCCUCGAAGCCGCAAUGGUAACUCUCUCUCUCUCUCUCUCUUCUCUUCUCUCUCUGGUAUUAGCUGGUGAUCGAUGAUUUGGUUCGAAUUUGAAUUUGUUCCUGUAGGCUUUGUCGAACCAACAGACUGUUGAUUAUCCAAGCUUCAAGCUCGUCAUCGUCGGCGAUGGAGGCACUGGUAAUUUGCAGUUUCCUUGUUCUGUUUCUUAUGUUCUGAGUUGAUGUUUUCAUCGACUGUGUUGGCAUGAUUAUUGCAACUUUAAAAUUAGGGUUUUGAUAAGAUUUUGGAUUUGGGGUAUUGUUGGCACAAUUAUAACACACUCCCUCCCUAAGAAGAAUUUGAUUCAAUUGUUCGGAUAUUUACAAUUUUGACUAAAAUAUUUAGUAAAUUGAAAAGGCACAAUAUUUGGUUUGAUAUGUGAUACUAUCUAAUUAAAUUGAUAUUGAUGGAAAUAAACAAUCUUCUUAGGCCUUCUCCAACCCUGGGCUAAAACCCAAAUUUCCCCUUCCCCCACCCCAAAACCCAACCCAACCCAAUCCAAGUGCUAAAUAAAACCUAAAACCUAAAACUCACAAGAGGGCCAAAUACCGGCUAUUUUUUAUGCCAGAAAUCAAAAUGGGGCCCACCGGUAUGAGUGAAAAGUGGGUUGUGAAGCCCAUAUGCCGUCGCCCACUUGCCCAACGCGCAGCACGCGCCAGGGCUGAUCCCAGCGAGACCCCACCCACGUGGGCGUGUCAAGCCAAAUUCAAAUCGGUCAGGUAGCCUAACGGCUACUUUUCUGAUCCAACGACCAGAUUUAUUGAAUCCAACGGUUUAGAUCAAAUAUAACGGUAAAAAAUAAAAUCUAGUGGCCCAAAUUUAAAUCCGACGGCUAAAAUAAUUAUAAAAAAACUAUUGAAGGUUUCAUUGUCAUGUGUGUUGGUUUGUGUUUCAUGCAUUUCAUGUGUUUUGUAUGUAUGUUUGUAUGUUUUUCGUGUGUGUCAUGUGUUUCACAGGUGUUACGUGUGUGCUUCAUCUUUAUCAUGUGUUUUGUAUGUGCUUCACAUGUGUUUUGUAUGUGUUUCAUAUGUGUUUCACAUGUGUUCUAUGUGUUUUGUGUGUUUCAUGUAUUUUGUGUUUAUACAUCUCUAUCAUGAUUUUCAUAUUCUUCCAUAGUGUUUCGUGAGUUUAUGUAUCGAUUUAGUGAUUUUUCAAUAUUUAUCGGAAUUUAAAUAUUUUUAGAUUAUAAUGUUCAUAAAAUUAAUUUAUGAUAGUCUACAUUUUAAGAAAAAAAAGUAUCCCAAAUUCAUUCUUUAAUAAUAUAGUGCUAAAAUUUUAGGUCUGAAGAGUUGGAGCAGAAAAGCUGUUUCUGGGCUAAAAAUUUUAGGUUUUAGGCCAAGGUUGGAGAUGGUCUUAGAGGGAAAUGAUUUACAUCUAUUUGUUUGUAAAUGUGAUUAUAUUCCUGGAAUUUUUCUUUUGAUAAAACUAGUGAUAAGAGCAAAGAAAUUCGAAGCUUAACACCGAUUAAUUUGGAGAGACAAUGCCUUGGAGAGAAGAAACAAUUUUAACUGUUCUCCAAGUUAUAGUGUUGUGUGGUGAUUUGGAUUUGAACUGAAUGGUGAUGAGUUGUGCAGGAAAAACCACUUUCGUGAAGAGGCAUCUCACUGGUGAAUUCGAGAAGAAAUAUGAGCAUAAGAGACUUUUCUGACAUUUCCGUCCAUUGCGCCGUGUUGUUAGUUUAUUGUUAUAAUUAGUUUGACCUUGAUAUGUUUGCUUAUACUUAACAUUCAUUUUCUGUUACUUUUCUAUGCAAACAGCCACCAUUGGUGUGGAGGUUCAUCCACUGGACUUCUUCACAAAUUGUGGAAGGAUCCGCUUUUACUUCUGGGACACUGCUGGGCAAGAGAAG